RNAcentral lists this microRNA (20 nucleotides) under Ciona intestinalis (vase tunicate). RNAcentral describes it as "cin-miR-4080-3p". The record is from miRBase by way of RNAcentral. Lineage: Eukaryota; Metazoa; Chordata; Ascidiacea; Phlebobranchia; Cionidae.
CUAACCUAGUAGAUGAAGCA